GCAAGCUACAGCUAUACAGGUACAAAAGAUUGUCAGAACCUUCGUACAUUUUAGCAGUCAUGUGUACUGAUAUAUAACUGACCCUGUUUUUCCAACAUCCGUGCAGUAUGUCGGCGCCUGUCGUGUUACGUCAAGACAUGAAUGACUGGCAGAGGUGGCAUAUAGGCCUACAGUAUAGCGUGUAACAACGUGUAAUAGCAUUCAAGUGAAUGUAUUACCCUUCUGAUCAUCGGUGGUGAUUGGAGUCGCCAUCGCUUUCAAUAUAUCUACGGUGUCGGUGAUGCCGAGUCCACAGUCCCACAAUUCAAAGUCAGAGGUUUGCGUCCCAGCACAGCAUUGUCUCGAAAUAUUGGCUGAUUCCUGAGCCGCUUUUGUUAGUGUGUUCUUAGAUAUUUUUAAUAUUCCGUUUUAACUUCCUUCAUUUCUUCCUUCAUUGUUUUCAAAAUGCCUUUUCGUUUUUAGUCGAUAAUCCAAUUGCCACCAGAUUUUGGAGUCAGCCCAGAUGCUCAAUAACACUCUGAUAUCUCCAGAUGACCAUGAUAAAGGUUCCAUUUUAAGAAUGUAAAUGUUUUGUAGUGUUGCUACCGUUUGUAAGUAUUUUUUUUUGUUUCCAACGGCCAAGGAAAACGUAAUAUCAGCAAACUAUGACGCCAUACCUCAGACCAAGCAUUGCGGUUUGCCGUCUGUAAUCCCACCCACCCGACUGGUUUGUUCUUGGAUGUCUAGCCUUCAAUCAACCAGGAUGUCUAGCCUUCAAUCAACCAGGAUGUCUUUCAACCAGGAUGUCUAGCCUUCAAUCAACCAGGAUGUCUACCCUUCAAUCAACCAGGAUGUCUAGCCUUCAAUCAACCAGGAUGUCUAGCCUUCAAUCAACCAGUAUGUCUAGCCUUCAAUCAACCAGGAUGUCUAGCCUUCAAUCAACCAGGAUGUCUAGCCUUCAAUCAACCAGUAUGUCUAGCCUUCAAUCAACCAGGAUGUCUAGCCUUCAAUCAACCAGGAUGUCUUGCCUUCAAUCGACCAGGAUGUCAAGCCUGGAAUCAACCAGGAUGUCUAGCCUGGUAUCCUCAGUGCCGUAACGAACGCUGUCUCCGGACUAAUACCUUGAUUAAGCUCUCAAGCACUAAAUCCUCCACAAAGCGUCGUUACAGUGCGACAAGGCAAGGCAAACCCCCCCCCCUCCCCCCACCCCGGAUGGUGUUCACCAAUUGCACUUCCCUCCGUGGGACCCCUGGGCUAAGCCGAGAGACGGAUUCAUUUCACUUUCAUUUUAAUUAGAGCAAUUGUCUGCACCAUAUGGCCCAGAUUUAGGCUACAUCAUUUAAAAUGAAUAAUUUUACUGUGUGUGGGCUAGAGGUGGGUCACACCUUACACAUCUUAUCGAUGCACAGUUGGCCAGCCUUAGGCCGUGGACCUAGCUGCACUCUGGGCCAGCAAAACGCAAAAUAUAUGGCCCACAGCUGGUCCAAAACAUGUUUUCUAUCUGGGAAAGCUUAUGAGACCGCUGACACCGCUGACGCCCUGGCAGAUGACAUGGGAUGUUACGGGUCUAAAACCACGCGACUCAUUCUGUUCUUGCAAGGCUUCUUAAAGGCAAAUAUAUUGCUAUGGGAGCAGAACACUUACAGGAAUUAUGUAAUGAAUUAGAAAACAUAGCUAAAGGCUUAUUACCUCAGAGAAGAUCAGCACAUUCAGAAUUUGUAGUCUCUUCAGGGUUCUUGGUCUGACCGAAGGGUGACAGGUUGAGGCUUCACUAUUACCUGGGUCUUUUUUCAUUUCUUCCACAGUGUUGAGCUGCUGUUGUGGGACCUUCAAGCAUCUGUAUGUCUACAAACACACUGCUACAGGGGACAGAGUGCCACCUAUUGGUCCCCAAAUGCAACUGUACUCACUCCCCUCACCUCCCUGUUCCCUGCUUCUCCUUUACAUUCUGUUGUCACUCAGGACAAGAGGAUGUUCCAAAAGCACCAUAUUUAUAGCACCAACAUGCACUGAAAUAAAAUAUAAUAAUUGCGGUGGGACAUAUUUAAAAACCAUGUACAUAAAAGGCACCAGUAAUGUAUGCAAGUUUAAACUAAACAGUAAACCUGUUGUAGUAAAUGCAGAAUAUGUCAAAUCUGUGGUUAGAUCUCUGCUCUUUUGAGCAAAUCUCAAUACAAGUGAAAACCUACAUUUUAAAACUGUAUCGCUAUACUACAUUAUUAUCUAUAGAACAUGUGGUCACAUAGCGCCAGCCCGCUAGACAAAUCAUUAAAACCAUGUCAAGUAGAUAUCCCAGAGAGCCUAAUAAAGAAGUAUGAUUAAAAUUCAAGAAUGGAUGGUAGUUAUUCCGCACACAAUGGCUGGCUGCUUAAAAUACAGCAGUAUGUAGGCACGAGGUCUCCCUGUCCCAGGCCUCCGUGCAUGUACAGAGCAAGGUCUUUUUUUACGUUUUUAACAUUUCUGAGCAAACAAGCUGCUAACGCAUUCAUGUUCCUAUGUGAGGGGAUAAGGGGAAGUUUAUAGGAGGAUUCCUCCACCUCUGACCUCCCUCAGGUUUCACAUCCACAUUCCUGCUCCCAGAUAGGUGGAAUGAAACACUGCUCAGUGCUUUUCAACUUCAUCUCCUUCUCUGUCUUUUCAAUCUCUCUCUCUUUCUCUUAGUUUCUGUCUUCUCUUUUUUUUUCUCCCACAGGCCAGUCUCACCUUCGUGAAGUCAUACAGGUGUGAAUGUCAAUAAGAGUAGCAGUCCCUUGGUCAAAAUAUUCUGCAGUUUUUGUUUUCUUUUUGUUUCGAUAAAUAAGUAACAGACCUGUUAGGAGAUCUCCAGUGCUAAGGCACCAUGUCAGUAAAACAAAGAAGAGACAGCUAGAAAGAAAGUCUGGGAGCUGUCCAUCAGGACGUGUCAGCUACAGGAGGUGUGUGUGUGUGUGUGUUCUGUCAGCUCCAGCACAGAGGACCUCCUAAACGGAGGACCAGGUCACCACUGAUCACAUGGCAGAGAAAAUGGUCCAAACAACCUUGACGGGAGUGGAAGAGGUCUCUCUUUUUAAUUAGAAACUUUAAUAUUUCAUCCUCUGCUAUGCCUCAUUAGCGCCCUUCUAUCACACUGUAUUCUCCCAGCUCCCAGACAGGCCCGCACUUUCACUGAGUUUCUGUCUCCUAGCAUUGCCAUUCCUCAGCUUGAAGAAAGGUGUGUAUAUAACCACAAGAGAGUGACAGUGGAGUGGUCUGCAUAUUGGUCAGGUUUGCACUCACUUCUUUGCUACAGUAAUAGGUUACAUGGAUACUUUCUCAAAUUAAAAGAUAAUAUUUGCAAUAGUUGUGUGCACUGGAAAUACAAGAAAAAACGUAUACUAUGAAUGUCCGAGGCAGAGUUUAAAGCAGAGACCACAUACCUGAGAUACCAGUAGUUUGUCGUUGAUCUUGACCAUACUGUGGCACGUUGGUCAUGUAGUCAUCUCUAUCCCCUGCAGGCUUACCAAGUCUCUCUCCACAGCUCAGCAACGCCGGCAUCUGCUCAGCUCCCAUGCUCAGAAACAUCACCACGGCACCAAUGUGACCAUAACGUCUGAGAAACUGAAGCCUUGUGAUUCCUGAAGGGCCCUCACCCCACUUAGCCUCCAAACUCUCAUUCUCUCUUUGACUUCAGCGUGGACUUUAUUGGAUGGAAGUAUUGUAAAACUAUUUAGAUCUAGCUGAUGAUGAACGACAGACACAGACAGACACAUUUUUCUGGAUGUGAAGGUACACACCUGUUUCAGUCAAUACUUGGUAAACAGGAUAUGAUGGCAGAUACAUUUAGAAUGUGUUUAUGUGUCUCUUUAUUUGUGUAUUUCUGUUUGUAUCUGCAAUUGUGGUCAUGCCAUAGAUUUGUGUGCGUGCAUGUGUGUGUGUGUUAGAGGAUGGGGGGUUUACAUGUGUGUGACUAGUUGGUGGAGGGGGCAGUAUAAAAUAUGCAGGAUAAUUACCAGGAAGAGGUUGGGACGCAGAUGAAAGACCUUGUAUUGAUUCUUGAAAGGACCUGACAGCUCGCUUGAGCUUUUUUUUCUCUCCAUUGUUUGUUUUGCAUACAAAGGAUUACAUUUUCCUGUGAAUUUUGAUUGCGGCAGAAACAACAGAGCCUUUCUCCUCCAAGGAGGGGGCGAGGACAAGAGUACCUGGCAGAGGACAGAAUGAUUACUAGUGUACUGGCCUGAUAGAGUACUGGAAAGGACUAUGGAAGGAAAUCAACUUCUCAGACAGGCUUUUACUUGAUUUACCACUUAUCCACGGAGAGGUAUAGAAGGAAAUAACCAAAAUACAAUGUCCAAAUGACAAAUUAUUAAACUAAGAAAACAGUUUUCAUUACAUUGUUUUUAUAUAUUGGGUUUUUGAAGGGUUUUGCACACAAACAAUACUAAAAUUAUUGUAGUAUUUACCAUAGUAUCCUGUAGUAUUUUUGCGCACAUUAAUGUGUUAUUGAUUUAUAUUCUAUAACAUAAAAGUGUAUGUGUGUAUGGGGCUUCCUUGAGGAAACAUAUUGGCAUAGUAUUCAUGACCAUCUUAUGGAGUACACUCAGAAGUUCUGCUGGUGUUCUCUACUAUGUUUUGUAGUCUUUUACCCAUUUAUGCCUACCUCCUAUAGACUGUUACUGACUUGUUGUUGUGGAGGUUUUCACUAUUGAAAGUGUUCUUUGGUAAUCCACUCUAGUGGUCUUGGUCUACCAGGUCGUUUGCCACUGCUGAGCUUACCAGUGCUUUCUUUGUUCUGAAUCGAUCAAACAGUUGAUUGUGGCACACCUGAUGUUUUCUCUAUAUCUCUGAUGUAUGUCUUCAGAUUCAGCCUUAUAAUGGCUGGAUUUACUUGCACUGAAACUUCUUAUGUUAGUAAGCACAAGCAAAAUACUUCAAAUGUAAAGCCUUAUAUUGACACUUAUUUGGUCCAUAUGUUGUCAGACACCAGCACCAUGACUCAAAAUGUAAAUGCAAAGCAUGGUCUAGACUAGAAAUGUACAUCUCCCUUGAGCAUGCGCUAAUUCUGGAAACAAACACACCUUCCUUAUAAGAAAUCACUGUGAAGCCAAAUGAACAAAUACCAUAACAUGGGGUGACUAUGUAAAAUAAAAAAGUUGUAAUUACUAAGUGGUUGAUCUGAUAUGGAUGAAAAUAUCCUCAAAUAAAAGUUAAAAGUCAUUGUUUAAUUUCAAAUCCAAAUUACAA
This is a long non-coding RNA of Esox lucius (northern pike), 5178 nucleotides long. The record is from Ensembl. Lineage: Eukaryota; Metazoa; Chordata; Actinopteri; Esociformes; Esocidae.